This 393-nucleotide ribosomal RNA is filed under the name uncultured bacterium. Its description in RNAcentral is "bacterial SSU rRNA". It matches the Rfam family "Bacterial small subunit ribosomal RNA", at positions 8 to 429 of the family's 1533-position model. The record is from RNAcentral.
AGAGUUUGAUCCUGGCUCAGAGCGAACGCUGGCGGCAGGCCUAAUACAUGCAAGUCGAACGGAUCCUUCGGGAUCAGUGGCGGACGGGUGAGUAACACGUGGGAACGUGCCUUUUGGUUCGGAACAAGCCGGGGAAACCUGGUCUAAUGCCGAAUGUGCCCUUCGGGGGAAAGAUUUAUCGCCAUUAGAGCGGCCCGCGUCUGAUUAGCUAGUUGGUGGGGUAAAGGCCUACCAAGGCUACGAUCAGUAGCUGGUCUGAGAGGAUGAUCAGCCACACUGGGACUGAGACACGGCCCAGACUCCUACGGGAGGCAGCAGUAGGGAAUCUUGCGCAAUGGGCGAAAGCCUGACGCAGCCAUGCCGCGUGAAUGAUGAAGGUCUUAGGAUUGUAAA